AAGUCGUAACAAGGUUUCCGUAGGUGAACCUGCGGAAGGAUCAUUAACACGUAUCCAACGUUAAACCCCCCGUGCACACAGCGACCUGCUCCCCUCAAUUUCGGUCUUUUGGCAAUCCCUGGUAAAUCAUCGCCGAACAGUUUUGAUUCAGGGACAUCCAAAGGGCCGGGGUAGGGUAUUAAAGUAGUAGUCAAUGCAAAGCAACCUGGUUUCUUUGAAGCAGAAAGUGUGAUGGCGUGAGCCGGAGAACGGACUUGAACAACUGUUAACAAUGGAUAUCUUGGUUCUC
Molecule: unclassified non-coding RNA, 289 nt
Filed under: fungal sp.
Lineage: Eukaryota; Fungi
Description: partial internal transcribed spacer region
Rfam family: Eukaryotic small subunit ribosomal RNA (bases 1-46)
Source: RNAcentral